This is a long non-coding RNA of Neltuma alba, 512 nucleotides long. RefSeq lists it as uncharacterized. The transcript has 2 exons. The record is from RefSeq and is a predicted model, not a curated record. Lineage: Eukaryota; Viridiplantae; Streptophyta; Magnoliopsida; Fabales; Fabaceae.
AUCUUGGGAACUAUAAUGGAGCACCUCCUCAAGCACACUAUGCAUCUCCACAAACUGUGGUGGAUCCUUCUUGGUACAUGGAUAGCGGUGCUACCUAUCAUGUUACCCCGAACCCGAAUCAGCUGGACUCUUAUCUUCCAGUAGGCCAAGAAAACAGGGGAGGUACUGGUCCGAGGGACGACAAAUCAGGGAAUGUAUCCCGUGCGUAAUCUGGCUCCAGCGAAGGUCUUCAUAGCAGCUACUUCACCAUCUCUUGGUCGUGAUGAAAUUCUCAAGUGGCAUUACAAGUUAGGACAUCCUAGUUUUAGAAUCCUGAAACUUAUUCUAGAUAAAUGUAAUGUUAAAGCUCAGUGUAGAACUGAGUUUAUUUGUGAAGCCUGUCAGUUCGGUAAAUCUAAACAGCUACCAUUUUCAAAGUCUAUGUCUCAUGCAUCCUUUCCUCUUGAACUGGUUCACACUGAUCUUUGGGGUCCUUCACCGGUGCAAUCUGAACAUGGUCAUCGUUUCUAUAU